Molecule: long non-coding RNA, 596 nt
Organism: Osmia lignaria (orchard mason bee)
Lineage: Eukaryota; Metazoa; Arthropoda; Insecta; Hymenoptera; Megachilidae
Source: RefSeq, a predicted model, not a curated record
AUCCAUUGUUAAAAUCAAGGGGAGGUGCGUAACUACCAAAUGUUGUAUUAAGACAGUUUUGAAUUGCUUGUUGCUUUGAUUGUAAACAUUCUGGUCCAUUAGCAGAUAUGAAAACUGUAAAACAAAAUUUGAAUAUACUAGAGUUCUGCCAGUUGUUCAGGUAACUCGAUUAAAAAUAAUUUAAUAAGAUCUAACUAGAUUAUAAAAGAUCAACAGCUGUGAAGCCUUUGUUUCUUUAAAGGGGCACAUACACCUAGAAAUUUCAAGAUUUUUACAUAUUCCUGAAAUACUUUAUUAAAUUGAUCUGGUAAAAAUUACGUAAGUAGGAUAAAGCGCGUUAUGCAAGUAUGCAACGGUAUGCAGGGUAUUUUUUAAAAAUCGUAUUUGAAUGCCAUUGCCAAACUAAAUGGAAAAAAACAUUUAAAAAAACAAUGUUUCCAACACUCCAGCCAUUCAUUCAGAAACAGCUGUGGCUCCUGAAUAAUGGAAAAAUACCAAACCGGUUACAGUUUGAAUAUUUAGUACUUUUUUGUAAAAAUGUUUAUAAAAGUUAUACGUAAUACAUGUACUUUUAAGUAAAUGUAUUUUAUUUUUUU